Molecule: ribosomal RNA, 253 nt
Filed under: uncultured bacterium
Lineage: Bacteria
Description: partial 16S ribosomal RNA
Rfam family: Bacterial small subunit ribosomal RNA
Source: RNAcentral
UACGAGAGCCCCAAGCGUUAUCCGGAAUUACUGGGCGUAAAGGGUGCGUAGGUUGUAAUGUUAGUCUUUCGUUAAAUCUCUGGGCUUAACCUAGAAACCGCGAGAGAAACGGCAUUACUUGAGAGUGUGAGAGGUUUGCGGAACUCAUGGUGUAGGGGUGAAAUCCGUUGAUAUCAUGGGGAACACCAAAAGCGAAGGCAGCAAACUGGCACACAUCUGACACUGAAGCACGAAAGCGUGGGUAGCGAAUGGG